AAACUGUAUGGUGCAGAAAGUGUCGUUUUCAUUGCAGUUUCUGCUGCUGGGAAAGCGGUAGAUCACUAUGGCUUCUGUACCGUGAAAUGAAGCUUAUGAUAAAUAAAAUACUGCUGCUUGCUGGUCACUGAUUGAAGAUCGUUCAGUGGCUACCAUUGGCCAAUCUCACCAACGGGAUAUAAUAAGAACUGAUGCAGGUUUAUAUCUAUUCGGAACAAAGUUAGUACACUUUUUAAACCGAUGUUGGAUUUUUCUCCAGAUACAGGCAACCCACUUAACUUUGGAAGUAGUGCGCUGGAUUCGUCUAAAGAUAUGCUAUACAACCGGAGGAAAA
Molecule: long non-coding RNA, 334 nt
Organism: Armigeres subalbatus
Lineage: Eukaryota; Metazoa; Arthropoda; Insecta; Diptera; Culicidae
Exons: 3
Source: RefSeq, a predicted model, not a curated record